CCUGUGGAGCCCAAAGCACGUCCCUUAUCCAUUUUACACAAGAGUGUGUCAAUGUUCCAAAGGAUUCCCAGUGUUCCAGAGCCGUCUCAGCGCUGACUAUUCCUGGGAAAAGCUCUCCCAGGGACUCCGGGACGAGUCACACUCUGAACAUGAGGAACAUUUUGAGGUUUCUUUUCUUUUUCAGACAGUUCUUGGGAGCCUGAAGAGCGACUGCAAGGAUCACACUACACCACUGCAGAAAAUGCAGGGCAAACAGCCCAUGUGCAGCUGUAAAUGCAGGGAUGUGUGAGUGGAAGAGCUGGAUCCUGCUUUGGGGUGAAGGUUCAGUGCUGACCCCACAACCCUGAGCCUCCGGGCCAGCAAACUUCUCCAAGGACUCGGGGAAGGAGCUGCAAGCGAGACCUAAACUCUGUGUGGGGCUAAGCCUGGAACAAAGCACGCCCUCAGCACAUCUGAGCUGACUCCUCCAGUACUUUUCCACUUAAUGGGUGCAGGCACAUCACUCUUGGAAGCCAAUGUUCCAUCUGAUCCCCAGUGAUUUCCAGCUGAGAAACUACAUUAAAAACUGGCAUUUAUAGUCAUAUGUAUCCAGUUUAAAAGCACUGAUUAGAUUUU
Corvus hawaiiensis (hawaiian crow) is the source of this 615-nucleotide long non-coding RNA. RefSeq lists it as uncharacterized. NCBI's taxonomy places the organism in Eukaryota, Metazoa, Chordata, Aves, Passeriformes, Corvidae. The transcript has 3 exons. The record is from RefSeq and is a predicted model, not a curated record.